Small nucleolar RNA from Peromyscus californicus insignis, 132 nucleotides. The record is from RefSeq and is a predicted model, not a curated record. Lineage: Eukaryota; Metazoa; Chordata; Mammalia; Rodentia; Cricetidae.
ACCCCUUUAAAAGCACUCAGUAGGCCUUUUGCUAGUGACCUACUGAGCCGUCAAGAAGGGACAGAGUAAAAACAUCACUUUUGGGUGAAGUGGCAACAUGUGUUGUUUGCUUCAAUCAGGGUUGUGACAAGA